UCUGCAAUUAUCGGAAAAUAAGUGUAAUUAGAAAAAGAGGAAGGAAGGAGAAAACUUCAGAGCUGGCCACUCACGGAAGUCUGCGGGGACGGGGAGCCAGCCAGGAGUGGACAGCGGAGUUGGAUCAAUGGUGGGCCAGGGGCGCUCGGCUGGGCCCGCUCUGUGAGCACAGUGACUUCUGGGCCCACCACGAAGCCAGCUGCCAUGUUGUGGAGAGAUCCAGGCAGCCAUGUUGGAAGAGGACCUUGGAGCCCCAGUCAAGCCUUCAGAAGAGAGCAGGGCUGACACCCUGACUGUGACCUCAUGAGAGAUUGUGACUCAAAAAAUCACUCAGCUAAGUUGCCCUCAGAUUCCCGACCAAUAAAACAGAUAAUAAAUGUU
Long non-coding RNA from Mustela lutreola (European mink), 381 nucleotides. RefSeq lists it as uncharacterized. The transcript is spliced from 2 exons. The record is from RefSeq and is a predicted model, not a curated record. Lineage: Eukaryota; Metazoa; Chordata; Mammalia; Carnivora; Mustelidae.